AUGGAUGGGGUUUUAGCCAUUUUGCUCUGCUUGCAGGGCAGCCUGCUUGUCAUUCCCUCUGACUGCUCAGACAAAGGGAUAUCAAGAUCGGCAGAACAAAAUCAUUUGGACACCACACACGAACAGUUGUUGGACUAUGAAAAUAAAAUCACAAAAACAACGUUUGUCACUUUCCUCGAUCAGAAACCUUCAGAACCUUUUUCUGACUCUGAGAGGGCACAACUGGUAUGUGUAACUGGAGUUAUGUAAACACUAUAAAAUGUGUAACUGGAGUUAGGGAGGGUUGAUUACAACCAAGCCACUUUUGUCUCAGCCUCUCUAAAACAAAAUCAUUACCAAGGCUGUAUACAGUAUGUAUUAUAUGCAAAUCCCUCUCUUUCUACAUUUUUGUCUCCUGCAUUCCUCCAACACCCCAUCUCCAAUUUGCAGAUGUCCCUAGGUUUGUAGAAUUAUAGAAAGUUGUAAAAGUGCAGUCCUUCACUGGAUGACAAAUAUAUUGAAGGGCUACUGAACACAGGGGCAAAGUUUCUCAAAUACAUUUAAUAUUUUAUGGAACUGUGUGAGUUUGUAGUAUUCAUUAUCCACUUUCAUAUACUACUAAUUUUAAUCAGUUUUAAAUAACAUGUGAUUGGAAUUUGUAGAUGAAUGACAUUUCCUGAGGUAGGAAAAUCCAACCAAACAUUUUCCGAACAGCUUUAUCCAGCGUAGGCUCACAGGGGACUCCAGAGACUAACCCAGUAAGCAACAGUUGGAAGGCUCCCAGAGAUACACCCUGGACAGGAUGC
Molecule: long non-coding RNA, 785 nt
Filed under: Lepisosteus oculatus (spotted gar)
Lineage: Eukaryota; Metazoa; Chordata; Actinopteri; Semionotiformes; Lepisosteidae
Description: lncRNA (ENSLOCG00000022784.1)
Source: RNAcentral